ACUCCUACGGGAGGCAGCAGUGAGGAAUAUUGGUCAAUGGGCGAGAGCCUGAACCAGCCAAGUCGCGUGAAGGAAGAAGGAUCUAUGGUUCGUAAACUUCUUUUGCAGGGGAAUAAAGUGCAGGACGUGUCCUGUUUUGUAUGUACCCUGAGAAUAAGGAUCGGCUAACUCCGUGCCAGCAGCCGCGGUAAUACGGAGGAUCCGAGCGUUAUCCGGAUUUAUUGGGUUUAAAGGGUGCGUAGGUGGUUUAAUAAGUCAGCGGUGAAAGUUUGCAGCUUAACUGUAAAAAUGCCGUUGAAACUGUUAGACUUGAGUGUAAAUGAGGUAGGCGGAAUGCGUGGUGUAGCGGUGAAAUGCUUAGAUAUCACGCAGAACUCCGAUUGCGAAGGCAGCUUACCAAGCUACAACUGACACUGAAGCACGAAAGCGUGGGGAUCAAACAGGAUUAGAUACCCUGGUAGUC
This 463-nucleotide ribosomal RNA is filed under the name uncultured bacterium. RNAcentral describes it as "bacterial SSU rRNA". It matches the Rfam family "Bacterial small subunit ribosomal RNA", at positions 335 to 795 of the family's 1533-position model. The record is from RNAcentral.